Molecule: ribosomal RNA, 452 nt
Filed under: uncultured bacterium
Lineage: Bacteria
Description: bacterial SSU rRNA
Rfam family: Bacterial small subunit ribosomal RNA
Source: RNAcentral
AACGAACGCUGGCGGCAGGCUUAACACAUGCAAGUCGAACGCGUGUAGCAAUACACGAGUGGCGCACGGGUGAGUAACGCGUGGAUAUCUGCCUUUUGGUUCGGAAUAACUCCGGGAAACUGGAGCUAAUACCGGAUGGUUCCUACGGGAUAAAGAUUUAUCGCCAAAAGAUGAGUCCGCGUACGAUUAGCUAGUUGGUGAGGUAAUGGCUCACCAAGGCGACGAUCGUUAGCUGGUCUGAGAGGACGAUCAGCCACACUGGGACUGAGACACGGCCCAGACUCCUACGGGAGGCAGCAGUGGGGAAUAUUGGACAAUGGGGGCAACCCUGAUCCAGCCAUGCCGCGUGAGUGAUGAAGGCCUUCGGGUUGUAAAGCUCUUUUGGCGGGGACGAUGAUGACGGUACCCGCAGAAUAAGCCCCGGCUAACUUCGUGCCAGCAGCCGCGGUAAU